RNAcentral lists this unclassified non-coding RNA (333 nucleotides) under Hevea brasiliensis (rubber tree). Lineage: Eukaryota; Viridiplantae; Streptophyta; Magnoliopsida; Malpighiales; Euphorbiaceae. The record is from RNAcentral.
CUAUGGUGGUAGAGCUAGUCUUGAUUCUAUUGCCGAGUCAUGGAGGACUUCUCAUUCUGAGUUGCCCCAGAAAGAUGGGAACUUAUGGAUUUUAAAAGAUUUUCAGCAGUGGGUGCAGGAAAUGCCUUUUAGUGAAAAAGUUUCUUGGGCAGUAGGAGGGAUGGUUCUCACUGCGGGGUUGUUGUUUUUGAGCAAAAGAAAAAGUUAUAGCCAGCGCCAGAGGCUAGCAGCUAUUCAGCGAACAGCAAAGAUGCUGGAAGGCAACAUGGACAAGAAAUAUCCUGAUAAUCAAGGGAAUAGGAAAGGAAAUCGAAGAUGAAUGCCUUGUUGAAU